Molecule: long non-coding RNA, 107 nt
Organism: Sander lucioperca (pikeperch)
Lineage: Eukaryota; Metazoa; Chordata; Actinopteri; Perciformes; Percidae
Exons: 2
Source: RefSeq, a predicted model, not a curated record
GUUGCUUUGAAUGCAAGAUUUAAUGAUUUACAAGUAUGAUCCGUUGGGAGUCUUGUACUUACAAUUUUCAAAACACUGCACCAUACUAUUGAUAAUAGUACCAUAGC